RNAcentral lists this transfer RNA (71 nucleotides) under Ovis aries (sheep). It matches the Rfam family "tRNA". Rfam says of the family: Transfer RNA (tRNA) molecules are approximately 80 nucleotides in length. Their secondary structure includes four short double-helical elements and three loops (D, anti-codon, and T loops). Further hydrogen bonds mediate the characteristic L-shaped molecular structure. tRNAs have two regions of fundamental functional importance: the anti-codon, which is responsible for specific mRNA codon recognition, and the 3' end, to which the tRNAs corresponding amino acid is attached (by aminoacyl-tRNA synthetases). tRNAs cope with the degeneracy of the genetic code in two manners: having more than one tRNA (with a specific anti-codon) for a particular amino acid; and 'wobble' base-pairing, i.e. permitting non-standard base-pairing at the 3rd anti-codon position. Lineage: Eukaryota; Metazoa; Chordata; Mammalia; Artiodactyla; Bovidae. The record is from Rfam by way of RNAcentral.
CCUGUGGCGGCUCAGUGGUAAAAGAAUCUGCCUACAAUGCAGGAGACUUGGGUUCAAUCCCAAUCCCUGGG